CGUCCCCGGGGCCGACUCCGGAGCGCAGGCGGGCAUCCGGGCUGGCGGCGCGGCGCGGGCCAGCGGGAAGCGUGUUCUGGGCACGGGGCGCCGGGCCGGAUCGGCUGCUCAGGGCGGCAGUAGUGGGAGGCUGCCCAAGGCCUCGCGCGGCGCCGCCCGUCGAGGGGCGGGCGGCGGGGGACCGACCCGGCCGUCGAAGGGCGCAGGAGGCCGGUGGGCCGGGCCAGGCCUUGCGGCGCAGCCAUGCCAGGCUUUACGUGCUGCGUGCCAGGCUGCUACAACAACUCGCACCGGGACAAGGCGCUGCACUUUUACACGUUUCCCAAGGACGCUGAGUUGCGGCGCCUCUGGCUCAAGAAUGUGUCCCGUGCUGGCGUCAGUGGGUGCUUCUCCACCUUCCAGCCCACCACGGGCCACCGUCUGUGCAGCGUUCACUUCCAGGGUGGCCGCAAGACCUACACGGUGCGGGUCCCCACCAUUUUCCCGCUGCGCGGCGUCAACGAGCGCAAAGUAGCGCGCAGACCCGCGGGUGCCGCGGCUGCCCGCCGUCGCCAGCAGCAGCAGCAACAGCAACAGCAGCAGCAGCAGCAGCAACAGCAGCAGCAACAACAGCAGCAGUCGUCGUCGCCGUCCACCUCCACUGCCCAGACCUCCCAGCUGCAGCCGAACCUGGUGUCUGCCUCUGCAGCCGUGCUCCUCACCCUUCAGGCUGCUGUAGACAGUCAGGCUCCAGGAUCUGUGCCACCGGCGCCCAUCACUCCCACCGGCGAAGACGUGAAGCCCAUAGACCUUACAGUGCAAGUGGAGUUUGCGGCCGCAGAGGGCGCAGCCGCUGCGGCCGCUGCGUCGGAGCUACAAGCUGCUACGGCAGGGCUGGAGGCCGCCGAAUGCCCUAUGGGCCCCCAGUUGGUGGUGGUAGGGGAAGAAGGCUUCCCUGAUACGGGCUCCGACCACUCUUACUCCUUGUCUUCAGGCACCACUGAGGAGGAGCUCCUGCGCAAGCUGAACGAGCAGCGGGACAUCCUGGCGCUGAUGGAAGUGAAGAUGAAAGAGAUGAAGGGCAGCAUCCGCCACCUGCGUCUCACGGAGGCCAAGCUGCGCGAAGAACUGCGCGAGAAGGAUCGGCUGCUUGCCAUGGCUGUCAUCCGCAAGAAGCAUGGAAUGUGAGCGCAUCCCCCCCGCGCGGCCUGCAGGACUCGUGGACCCCUUCUAGCCCAGGGGAACCUCAAGCCGCUAUUGAACUCCUCUGUACUCCUGGGGUGCUGGUUGACAGCACUGAGGCUUAGGGCAGCUGGACUCUUGCUAGUGAUCUGGCACCCUCACUUGUUUUCUCUUGCAGUGGGGGCUGGGGCCUCAGACUGCACUGGUGACACCAGCAAUUAUGACUUUGUCUACCUUCCCUCUCCAGUUUAUUUUACAGAUUCUGGUUAAACAGAGGCUUCAGAACCACUGAACUUGAAACUUACCCUAUAGGGAUGCAGGUGCAGCCUGUGAUUUUGAUGGG
This is an RNA transcript of Otolemur garnettii (small-eared galago), 1504 nucleotides long. It is a transcript of the gene named THAP domain containing 11, with no coding region annotated. Lineage: Eukaryota; Metazoa; Chordata; Mammalia; Primates; Galagidae. The record is from RefSeq and is a predicted model, not a curated record. The transcript has 2 exons.